GAUCAUGGGCUCAGGAUGAACGCUAGCUACAGGCUUAACACAUGCAAGUCGAGGGGCAGCAUGGUCUUAGCUUGCUAAGGCUGAUGGCGACCGGCGCACGGGUGAGUAACACGUAUCCAACCUGCCGUCUACUCUUGGCCAGCCUUCUGAAAGGAAGAUUAAUCCAGGAUGGGAUCAUGAGUUCACAUGUCCGCAUGAUUAAAGGUAUUUUCCGGUAGACGAUGGGGA
This 228-nucleotide ribosomal RNA is filed under the name uncultured bacterium. Its description in RNAcentral is "partial 16S ribosomal RNA". It matches the Rfam family "Bacterial small subunit ribosomal RNA", at positions 15 to 231 of the family's 1533-position model. The record is from RNAcentral.